CCUACGGGUGGCUGCAGUGGGGAAUAUUGGACAAUGGGGGCAACCCUGAUCCAGCCAUGCCGCGUGUGUGAAGAAGGCCCUCGGGUUGUAAAGCACUUUCAGUGAGGAAGAACGCCUGGUGGUUAAUACCCAUCAGGAAAGACAUCACUCACAGAAGAAGCACCGGCUAACUCCGUGCCAGCAGCCGCGGUAAUACGGAGGGUGCGCGCGUUACUCGGAAUUACUGGGCGUAAAGCGCGCGUAGGUGGCUUGAUAAGCCGGUUGUGAAAGCCCCGGGCUCAACCUGGGAACGGCAUCCGGAACUGUCAAGCUAGAGUGCAGGAGAGGAAGGUAGAAUUCCCGGUGUAGCGGUGAAAUGCGUAGAGAUCGGGAGGAAUACCAGUGGCGAAGGCGGCCUUCUGGACUGACACUGACACUGAGGUGCGAAAGCGUGGGUAGCAAACAGGAUUAGAUACCCCUGUAGUC
Molecule: ribosomal RNA, 465 nt
Filed under: Vreelandella stevensii
Lineage: Bacteria; Pseudomonadati; Pseudomonadota; Gammaproteobacteria; Oceanospirillales; Halomonadaceae
Description: partial 16S ribosomal RNA
Rfam family: Bacterial small subunit ribosomal RNA
Source: RNAcentral